UCAUGGCUCAGAUUGAACGCUGGCGGCAGGCCUAACACAUGCAAGUCGAGCGGUAACCAGAGAUAGCUUGCUAUCUGCUGACGAGCGGCGGACGGGUGAGUAAUGCUUGGGAAUAUGCCUUUUGGUGGGGGACAACAGUUGGAAACGACUGCUAAUACCGCAUAACGUCUACGGACCAAAGUGGGGGACCUUCGGGCCUCACGCCAAGAGAUUAGCCCAAGUGGGAUUAGCUAGUUGGUGAGGUAAUGGCUCACCAAGGCAACGAUCCCUAGCUGGUUUGAGAGGAUGAUCAGCCACACUGGAACUGAGACACGGUCCAGACUCCUACGGGAGGCAGCAGUGGGGAAUAUUGCACAAUGGGCGCAAGCCUGAUGCAGCCAUGCCGCGUGUGUGAAGAAGGCCUUCGGGUUGUAAAGCACUUUCAGUCAGGAGGAAAGGUUAGUAGUUAAUAGCUGCUAGCUGUGACGUUACUGACAGAAGAAGCACCGGCUAACUCCGUGCCAGCAGCCGCGGUAAUACGGAGGGUGCGAGCGUUAAUCGGAAUUACUGGGCGUAAAGCGUACGCAGGCGGUUUGUUAAGCGAGAUGUGAAAGCCCCGGGCUCAACCUGGGAACUGCAUUUCGAACUGGCAGACUAGAGUGUGAUAGAGGGUGGUAGAAUUUCAGGUGUAGCGGUGAAAUGCGUAGAGAUCUGAAGGAAUACCGAUGGCGAAGGCAGCCACCUGGGUCAACACUGACGCUCAUGUACGAAAGCGUGGGGAGCAAACGGGAUUAGAUACCCCGGUAGUCCACCGCCGUAAACGAUGUCUAGCUAGAAGCUGGGGUCUUCGGACAACUUUUUCAAAGCUAACGCAUUAAGUAGACCCCCGGAGUCGC
This 875-nucleotide ribosomal RNA is filed under the name Pseudoalteromonas sp. 17X/A02/238. Its description in RNAcentral is "bacterial SSU rRNA". It matches the Rfam family "Bacterial small subunit ribosomal RNA", at positions 17 to 873 of the family's 1533-position model. Lineage: Bacteria; Pseudomonadati; Pseudomonadota; Gammaproteobacteria; Alteromonadales; Pseudoalteromonadaceae. The record is from RNAcentral.